This 218-nucleotide ribosomal RNA is filed under the name Acinetobacter haemolyticus. Its description in RNAcentral is "partial 16S ribosomal RNA". It matches the Rfam family "Bacterial small subunit ribosomal RNA", at positions 1 to 220 of the family's 1533-position model. Lineage: Bacteria; Pseudomonadati; Pseudomonadota; Gammaproteobacteria; Moraxellales; Moraxellaceae. The record is from RNAcentral.
UAAACUGAAGAGUUUGAUCAUGGCUCAGAUUGAACGCUGGCGGCAGGCUUAACACAUGCAAGUCGAGCGGGGAAGUGUAGCUUGCUACAUUACCUAGCGGCGGACGGGUGAGUAAUGCUUAGGAAUCUGCCUAUUAGUGGGGGACAACAUUCCGAAAGGAAUGCUAAUACCGCAUACGUCCUACGGGAGAAAGCAGGGGAUCUUCGGACCUUGCGCUA